GCCCUGAUAGCUCAGCAGGUAGAGCGCUUGUCUCGUAAACAAGAGGUCGCGAGUUCAAAUCUCGCUCAGGGCU
This 73-nucleotide transfer RNA is filed under the name Microcaldota archaeon. RNAcentral describes it as "Candidatus Micrarchaeota archaeon (hot springs metagenome) tRNA-Thr". It matches the Rfam family "tRNA". Rfam says of the family: Transfer RNA (tRNA) molecules are approximately 80 nucleotides in length. Lineage: Archaea; Nanobdellati; Microcaldota. The record is from RNAcentral.